This 194-nucleotide ribosomal RNA is filed under the name uncultured bacterium. RNAcentral describes it as "partial 16S ribosomal RNA". It matches the Rfam family "Bacterial small subunit ribosomal RNA", at positions 1308 to 1500 of the family's 1533-position model. The record is from RNAcentral.
CAACUCGACUACAUGAAGCUGGAAUCGCUAGUAAUCGCGAAUCAGAAUGUCGCGGUGAAUACGUUCCCGGGUCUUGUACACACCGCCCGUCACACCAUGGGAGUCAGUAACGCCCGAAGCCGGUGACCCAACCGAUAAGGAGGGAGCCGUCGAAGGUGGGACCGAUAACUGGGGUGAAGUCGUAACAAGGUAUC